ACGCUAGCUACAGGCUUAACACAUGCAAGUCGAGGGGCAGCAUGGUCUUAGCUUGCUAAGGCUGAUGGCGACCGGCGCACGGGUGAGUAACACGUAUCCAACCUGCCGUCUACUCUUGGCCAGCCUUCUGAAAGGAAGAUUAAUCCAGGAUGGCAUCAUGAGUUCACAUGUCCGCAUGAUUAAAGGUAUUUUCCGGUAGACGAUGGGGAUGCGUUCCAUUAGAUAGUAGGCGGGGUAACGGCCCACCUAGUCAACGAUGGAUAGGGGUUCUGAGAGGAAGGUCCCCCACAUUGGAACUGAGACACGGUCCAAACUCCUACGGGAGGCAGCAGUGAGGAAUAUUGGUCAAUGGGCGAUGGCCUGAACCAGCCAAGUAGCGUGAAGGAUGACUGCCCUAUGGGUUGUAAACUUCUUUUAUAAAGGAAUAAAGUCGGGUAUGCAUACCCGUUUGCAUGUACUUUAUGAAUAAGGAUCGGCUAACUCCGUGCCAGCAGCCGCGGUAAUACGGAGGAUCCGAGCGUUAUCCGGAUUUAUUGGGUUUAAAGGGAGCGUAGAUGGAUGUUUAAGUCAGUUGUGAAAGUUUGCGGCUCAACCGUAAAAUUGCAGUUGAUACUGGAUGUCUUGAGUGCAGUUGAGGCAGGCGGAAUUCGUGGUGUAGCGGUGAAAUGCUUAGAUAUCACGAAGAACUCCGAUUGCGAAGGCAGCCUGCUAAGCUGCAACUGACAUUGAGGCUCGAAAGUGUGGGUAUCAAACAGGAUUAGAUACCCUGGUAGUCCACACGGUAAACGAUGAAUACUCGCUGUUUGCGAUAUACGGCAAGCGGCCAAGCGAAAGCGUUAAGUAUUCCACCUGGGGAGUACGCCGGCAACGGUGAAACUCAAAGGAAUUGACGGGGGCCCGCACAAGCGGAGGAACAUGUGGUUUAAUUCGAUGAUACGCGAGGAACCUUACCCGGGCUUAAAUUGCACUCGAAUGAUCCGGAAACGGUUCAGCUAGCAAUAGCGAGUGUGAAGGUGCUGCAUGGUUGUCGUCAGCUCGUGCCGUGAGGUGUCGGCUUAAGUGCCAUAACGAGCGCAACCCUUGUUGUCAGUUACUAACAGGUGAUGCUGAGGACUCUGACAAGACUGCCAUCGUAAGAUGUGAGGAAGGUGGGGAUG
This 1157-nucleotide ribosomal RNA is filed under the name uncultured bacterium. RNAcentral describes it as "bacterial SSU rRNA". It matches the Rfam family "Bacterial small subunit ribosomal RNA", at positions 33 to 1181 of the family's 1533-position model. The record is from RNAcentral.